GAAUAGAUUUCUGAGCGGUUGAAAGAGUCGGUCUUGAAAACCGAAGUAUUUAUAGAAAUACCGGGGGUUAGAAUCCCUCUCCAUCCG
RNAcentral lists this transfer RNA (87 nucleotides) under Nicotiana sylvestris (wood tobacco). It matches the Rfam family "tRNA". From Rfam's summary of the family: Transfer RNA (tRNA) molecules are approximately 80 nucleotides in length. The record is from Rfam by way of RNAcentral. Lineage: Eukaryota; Viridiplantae; Streptophyta; Magnoliopsida; Solanales; Solanaceae.